Molecule: long non-coding RNA, 344 nt
Organism: Saccoglossus kowalevskii
Lineage: Eukaryota; Metazoa; Hemichordata; Enteropneusta; Harrimaniidae
Source: RefSeq, a predicted model, not a curated record
CAGCACUAUAACUGUUUGCCUGCCUGCCUGCCAGCUUACCUGUUCAAAUAUGAAGGCCAGAGCCGUCAUCGCCGUCGUAGUUGUUAUGCUAGUUGUUUUGCAAUGCUGCAGUCACACUGAAGGGUUUGGAGUCAGCGGCGGACCCCCUGGUCGUGGUCUUGUGGGCGGCGUAAUCGUCGAUCCUGAUGAAUUGGUAGAUAUCUGUGCUGAUUUCACUCCCGGAAAUGGAAAUGGAAAAGGGAAAUAAUCUGUAAACUCAUAUUCUUAUAAUUCGAACUGUACGUUCUAGAUCGACAAUAGAGAAGAAAAUUAAUAAAUUAUAGCAGAAACGUUCAACACAUGAA